UCCAGACUUUGAUUCUGGCUCAGGACGAACGCUGGCGGCGUGCUUAACACAUGCAAGUCGAACGGGGUGUUUAUUUCGGUAAACACCAAGUGGCGAACGGGUGAGUAACGCGUAAGCAAUCUACCUUCAAGAGGGGGACAACACUUCGAAAGGGGCGCUAAUACCGAAUGAAUGUAAGAGUAUCGCAUGAGACACUUACUAAAGGAGGCCUCUGAAAAUGCUUCCGCUUGAAGAUGAGCUUGCGUCUGAUUAGCUAGUUGGUGAGGGUAAAGGCCCACCAAGGCGACGAUCAGUAGCCGGUCUGAGAGGAUGAACGGCCACAUUGGGACUGAGACACGGCCCAGACUCCUACGGGAGGCAGCAGUGGGGAAUCUUCCGCAAUGGGCGAAAGCCUGACGGAGCAACGCCGCGUGAACGAUGAAGGUCUUAGGAUCGUAAAGUUCUGUUGUUAGGGACGAAGGGUAAGAAUCAUAAUAAGGUUUUUAUUUGACGGUACCUAACGAGGAAGCCACGGCUAACUACGUGCCAGCAGCCGCGGUAAUACGUAGGCGGCAAGCGUUGUCCGGAAUUAUUGGGCGUAAAGGGAGCGCAGGCGGGAAACUAAGCGGAUCUUAAAAGUGCGGGGCUCAACCCCGCGAUGGGGUCCGAACUGGUUUUCUUGAGUGCAGGAGAGGAAAGCGGAAUUCCCAGUGUAGCGGUGAAAUGCGUAGAUAUUGGGAAGAACACCAGUGGCGAAGGCGGCUUUCUGGACUGUAACUGACGCUGAGGCUCGAAAGCUAGGGUAGCGAACGGGAUUAGAUACCCCGGUAGUCCUAGCCGUAAACGAUGGAUACUAGGUGUGGGAGGUAUCGACUCCUUCCGUGCCGGAGUUAACGCAAUAAGUAUCCCGCCUGGGGAGUACGGCCGCAAGGUUGCAACUCAAAGGAAUUGACGGA
RNAcentral lists this ribosomal RNA (935 nucleotides) under uncultured bacterium. Its description in RNAcentral is "bacterial SSU rRNA". It matches the Rfam family "Bacterial small subunit ribosomal RNA", at positions 1 to 917 of the family's 1533-position model. RNAcentral also lists the same sequence under 1 other name. The record is from RNAcentral.